CAUCCAAGCCUGGAGAACAAAUAGCAGAAAAUGGGCAUCGUGGUUAACUCCUGAAACCUUUUCCCGAUACUCGCAGUCCUCGGAACUUCGUGCUCCCAGCUCUCCAAUGCUUUUCUUAUGGGCCCAGGAUAAAGAAAACAAUGAAGAAAGGGGACUGGAGAAUUAUACACCUGAAAACCUUGAUCCACUAUUGGUGUCUCUUCUAUUGCUCACAGAAAAAAA
Molecule: non-coding RNA, 222 nt
Organism: Notechis scutatus (mainland tiger snake)
Lineage: Eukaryota; Metazoa; Chordata; Lepidosauria; Squamata; Elapidae
Source: RefSeq, a predicted model, not a curated record